UAGUAGCUCUAACUUAGAGUCUAAUGGGAC
This 30-nucleotide non-coding RNA is filed under the name Rattus norvegicus (Norway rat). Lineage: Eukaryota; Metazoa; Chordata; Mammalia; Rodentia; Muridae. The record is from RNAcentral.